GAUGAAGAACGUAGCGAAAUGCGAUAAGUAGUGUGAAUUGCAGAAUUCCGUGAAUCAUCGAAUCUUUGAACGCACAUUGCGCCCGGCAGUAAUCUGCCGGGCAUGCCUGUCCGAGCGUCAUUUCUACCCUCGAGCGAGUCCAGCAUCUAGGUGCUGGGCCUCGCCCGGCGUUGGAGCACUACGGGAAGCCCUGUGCUGUCCCCCGUAGGCCCCGAAAUGAAGUGGCGGUCCUGCCGCGGCGCCCCCUGCGUAGUAUAACAGCUCGCUUCGGGACCCGGUGGAGGCCUGCCGUCAAACCUAUACUCUCUAAGUUUGACCUCGGAUCAGGUAGGGUUACCCGCUGAACUUAAGCAUAUCAAUAAGCGGAGGA
Molecule: unclassified non-coding RNA, 370 nt
Filed under: soil metagenome
Description: partial contains 5.8S ribosomal RNA, internal transcribed spacer 2, and large subunit ribosomal RNA
Rfam family: 5.8S ribosomal RNA (bases 1-120)
Source: RNAcentral